Molecule: ribosomal RNA, 498 nt
Filed under: uncultured Eubacteriales bacterium
Lineage: Bacteria; Bacillati; Bacillota; Clostridia; Eubacteriales
Description: uncultured Clostridiales bacterium partial 16S ribosomal RNA
Source: RNAcentral
CACGUAGUUAGCCGGGGCUUCUUAUUUAGGUACCGUCAUUUCUUUCUUCCCUAUUGAUAGAAGUUUGCAAUCCGAAAACCGUCUUCCUUCACGCGGCGUUGCUGCAUCAGGCUUUCGCCCAUUGUGCAAUAUUCCCCACUGCUGCCUCCCGUAGGAGUUUGGGCCGUGUCUCAGUCCCAAUGUGGCCGGUCACCCUCUCAGGUCGGCUACUGAUCGUUGCCUUGGUGGGCUAUUAUCUCACCAACUAGCUAAUCAGAUGCGGGCCCAUCUUUUACCGAAUUACUCCUUUCUUUCUUAGAAGAUGCCUUCCAAGAACCGUAUGCGGUAUUAGUCGUCGUUUCCAACGAUUAUUCCACUAGUAAAAGGUAAGUUGCCCACACGUUACUCACCCGUCCGCCGCUAAAAUAAUCAAAAGCAAAGCUCUCAAUUAUUUCGCUCGACUUGCAUGUGUUAAGCACGCCGCCAGCGUUCAUCCUGACGCCAGGAUACCAAACUCCU